GCGGCAGGGUCUGGGCUCGGGGGGGGGGGGCAGCGCAGCAGCCAAGCCUGCGGCACGGGUGCCCCGCGGCAGGCCCUGCAGCCUGGAGCUGGACCCAGCAGCCACCGGCCGGAGGCAAAACCAGAAGUUGGGCCCCAGCCCAGCCGGUGGUUCCCCGCCCAUGGACUGCACUGGGGAUCCACCCACAGAGCUCAGUGCAGGAUCAAGGUCCCAGUACCUUGCUGAUUAUACUUGAAAACCCAGGCCCAGAGCCACAGAGCCAUUCAUCCAGCUCUCGUCCUGAUGCUGAGCACUCACCAAGCAGCUAUAACCUGGCAGCCAAGGGUAGGUUUGAGCAAAUUACAUGUUAAAGGCAAAUGUUAAACUUAAGACACAUUUUGCAUCUGUUUUUUCCAGAAUAAAACUUCAUAGAUUUUAGGGAGUAAAAGCAAAACUAAGAUUGACAGACAAUGUAACAUUGGCAGUUGACAUCAUCACCAAAAAAAAAAAGCGUACGAAUUGAUAACUUACAGUUUUCUUUUCUGUGUACCACACCUUUAAGGUUGCUAGUAGUCUGCUGUCUGCAAAGGCCCUUGACAUUUUGUGAGGCUAAACUGACAGUGUGUUAUGGAGCCAGAGACGCACAACAAACUGCACUGUCUAACCGGGACUUUGCUUUUAUUCCUCAGUCUUUGUAAACAUCAUUUAGUCUAGAAAUACAGUCUGUGGCUGGGGAUGGAAAACAUAGCA
Long non-coding RNA from Dermochelys coriacea (leatherback sea turtle), 729 nucleotides. RefSeq lists it as uncharacterized. NCBI's taxonomy places the organism in Eukaryota, Metazoa, Chordata, Testudines, Dermochelyidae. The transcript has 3 exons. The record is from RefSeq and is a predicted model, not a curated record.